GGAGGUGAGACAGGCAUGGCUGCCACCACAGAAUUUCCAAUAGAAAUGGAGAACCCUGAAGACUGAAACACGGGAGUACAGAGUGGGGACAAGAGGGGAUUAUAAACUGUUUGAAGUUCAUCAGCACGGUGAAGUUUUAUUGUAUUUCCGGUCCCCAAGAUUUACACCCUAGAGGGGACACCGGCAGCCAGGCAGACUCCUUCCUUACCUCCAAUUUCCACGCCGCCGGACACGUGGCCAAGCGGACACUCACUUUCGGGCGCACGGAGGGAGGGAGCCGGGCCCGACGGACUCUCCCUCAACUGGCUCAGCUCUACUUGGCUCCACUCUCCUAUCUACUCUCCCACCUCA
This is a long non-coding RNA of Acomys russatus (golden spiny mouse), 351 nucleotides long. RefSeq lists it as uncharacterized. The record is from RefSeq and is a predicted model, not a curated record. The transcript has 3 exons. Lineage: Eukaryota; Metazoa; Chordata; Mammalia; Rodentia; Muridae.